RNAcentral lists this ribosomal RNA (442 nucleotides) under uncultured bacterium. RNAcentral describes it as "bacterial SSU rRNA". It matches the Rfam family "Bacterial small subunit ribosomal RNA", at positions 28 to 478 of the family's 1533-position model. The record is from RNAcentral.
GAUGAACGCUGGCGGCGUGCUUAACACAUGCGAGUCGAACGGGAUCCCAGGAGCUUGCUCCUGGGUGAGAGUGGCGAACGGGUGAGUAAUGCGUGACCGACCUGCCCCAUACACCGGAAUAGCUCCUGGAAACGGGUGGUAAUGCCGGAUGCUCCAGUUGACCGCAUGGUCCUCUGGGAAAGCUUUUGCGGUAUGGGAUGGGGUCGCGUCCUAUCAGCUUGAUGGCGGGGUAACGGCCCACCAUGGCUUCGACGGGUAGCCGGCCUGAGAGGGCGACCGGCCACAUUGGGACUGAGAUACGGCCCAGACUCCUACGGGAGGCAGCAGUGGGGAAUAUUGCACAAUGGGCGCAAGCCUGAUGCAGCGACGCCGCGUGCGGGAUGACGGCCUUCGGGUUGUAAACCGCUUUUGACUGGGAGCAAGCCCUUCGGGGUGAGUGUAC